Molecule: non-coding RNA, 5629 nt
Organism: Misgurnus anguillicaudatus (oriental weatherfish)
Lineage: Eukaryota; Metazoa; Chordata; Actinopteri; Cypriniformes; Cobitidae
Source: RefSeq, a predicted model, not a curated record
GCUUAAAUACGUGUACAAGCGUUACGUUCUCGUGACCACGCGCACAGGAGCAUGACGUGGGCGCGCAACCUCGAUAGAGACGAUAGUCCAAAAUCUCUACCGGUUGACAAAUUUCUACCGGUUAAUCGCCCACCCCUAGCGGCUGGAGCAACAGGUAACAAGACCUUGAAAGAUUUGCAGAUUCCCCUUCCAGGAAUCAGAACCCUGAAAAGCAGGAUGCAGUGUGUAAUGGUGGUGGUCGCUUCCGAACAACCAAUUUAUAAAUAUAUAUAAUAUAUACAUUCAGUUUAAGUUUGAGCGCCAGACAUGAUUAUUAUUAUUAGCCUGUCACCAAUAAGUCAGUUAAACAAGUUUUAAAGUUCUACCCACCAGUUACAUAAAAAACUCAGAUAUAAUAAUUGUAGGGUUUAAAUAGGAAGGCUUAAUAAACACACAGAAAAUUAAGUUUCAAAAAUAGAUUAAAGGUUUUAAACAAAUACCAAUCAAUAGGUUUCCUCACAAUACAGCAAUAAAUCCAAACUUAUACCUAAAUUCUAAUGUCUUAUGAAUUAAAUGGCAAAGAAAAAUAAUAAAGAAUCAAACAACCAAAUCAGAGCCCCAACUUCAAUUUUGAACAAAAAAACAAAACAAGUCAGCAUAGACUUACGCAAAAAGUAGCACACUCUAGCAGAAAAAAAUUGCUUUAAAUAAUGCAAACCAAAACAAAAAAAUUACUCUGGCCCAAACCUUUUGGCCAGUAUGCAAGGCAUCAGUCAUAAUGAGAUUGCCCACAGCAGAUAUCGCACCGCCAAAUAGUGGUCCAAUAGAGAGCAGCUCAACCAUACUCUUUGUUUUUGAAUGUAAUGUCUCUCCUUUUUUUUGUAAUUCCUCAACUGUCUCAUCUGGGCUUUUUGGCAACUUUCUUUGGCUUGCAUUUGAAGUUGCUUAAGGUGAUGAAUGGUGUCAUAAAAAGCAGAGUCUGGAGUGAGGUGUGGACCGUACAGCACUUUAUCCAUAGGCCCUUGUGGUGUUCGUCCAAGAUGGAGCUCUGCUGGGGUCAUGCCAAUGGUCUCUUGAACUGCUGAAUUGAGGGCAAAACGGAACUCUGCAUUACGCAUGGAAAACAGUUCUACCCAGCGUGAAUAGUAAUCAACAAAGACAAGCAGAUGUUCAUUCUGGUUGGAACUGCGGGGCAUGGGACCCAUUAUAUCAACUCCAAGCAUCUCAUUUGGACUCCCCCAUGACCACUAAGAGUACUAGAGUGGUAAUGCUGCAGAAGAGAUGUUCGGAGACUAAUGGAGUAACAUCAGACACAGGAAGUUCUGGAGCAUCCUUUUGCAUGGUGUACAGGCUACAGCUAGCCUGGGUGCCAGCCCAUCUUAGCCCCGCCCACAAGAUUUUGUAAACGGGAAGAUGGGUCUGGGGUUUCUCCGUUGAGGAGCUACUAUUUUAGCACAAAUGCUGGUCGAACCAAUCAAAUUGUCAGGGCGGGCUUUAUACGAUGAUGGACAGAUAAUCAACAGUAACGUAAUGAACCACGUCACCAAAGAGCGCGUGUGUUGAAUGGCUGCCGCUGUAGAGUUCAGAUGUGUGGAUUCUGACAUUGAGGCUGUUCUAAAAUAUAUCGACAGAGCAUUGAUUUUAAAAGAGGAACAGAGAAACGCGAGCAGGGCAUUUGUUGAUGUCCUAUUCGGCAAAAGUUGGUCGCAACUGAAAAGGCUAACGUUAUCACGGCGAUGCAACUCAGCGUGCACGACGAGAUGGAUAUAAUUAGCGGUCGUUGCCAGCUUCUUUUCGGAAGCCCGGAAUCGUGGUUGCUGAAUAAGGUGGAGGGACAUGCUAGGCUCCAAUAUUUUCAAGCAAACGUAAUGGGUAUCGUCGUGGAUGAAGUUCACCUAACGUACAAAUGGUAAGAGAUAGUCUUACUCUAUGACUUAGUAAAUACUUCAUGUUGUGAUAUAAACGAAAUGUUGUAAACAUAAUAGGUGUUGAUGUACAUUCGCUAACUCAGUAUAAUCACAAUGUUAUUGUUAGUGUCAUAGCGAAAUAACUAGCAGUUCGGUCAGGCUGCAAAGACGUAAUUUCAACAUACGUUACACACUCGGUUGCUCUGAUUGGUCGUAGGUCUAUCCAAUUGAGUGCAGAGGCAUUUUUCGGUUGAGACACGCCUCAUAAUUAUAGCUCAAUGGAGCGGUAUCAGACUCAAAUUCUGACUAGAAUUGAGUAUGGCAACGUCAGGCUAGGCUACAGCUUGAUUGUACGGGAAUUCUGGACAGAGCAUCUGGUGCAACAUUUAACGUUCCUUUUUGAUAUUCAAUGAUAAAGUCAAAUUUUUGCAGGCGUAGGACCCAGCAGAUGAGGCGACUUUUAGUGGAAUUAAUGACCCAUUGUAAGGCAGAGUGUUCGGUGACCACGGACCAAGAUUUUAUGCUCCAGAUUAGGGAUGUUAACAAUUAACCGAUCUUCGAUUAAUUGUUGAUAAGAAUUAAAUUGAUAAAAAUUAACGAUUGUCGACAAAGCAAGCACGUGUGUCCGGCGCCUGCGCAAAGCACAUACACAGCUGGUGAAAAAAUUAAACAAGCGCGAAGAAGUAAAACUAGCCAUGAUCACAACGAUGCUUGAUGCCAAACACUCACUUGGGCUUUAUAACCUCAUUCGAGACGAGGCUGUCUGCUAACGCAACGAAAUGGCAUCCGCAGUGGAUCUGAGAGGUUCCGAUGCCGAAAAUCUAAACACAGUUAGGAUACUGAAAGCAAAGACCCUCUUCAGGGAAGUCUGCAAGAUUAGCAUAGCAACGCUGCUAACGCUGCUUUACACAGGGAAGGAGACCAGAAGUCGUUUUUAAUAAACAGAUUAAAAUGUAAAACUUACAUUCUGGCAAGAAACUGUUAAAUGUAAACUGUAACUGACUGUCGUUACACUCUGAACGCCCACAACAUAUAUCAUUGAUCAUCAUCAUUACUGGCUGAGGCGCUACACGCUAAACGGAUUUUCUAAUGGAAGGUUGAAGUCUUCAUAAUAAGCAUCUUUGCUGAAAGUACACCGCAGGUCUAAAGCUGAGGUGACGACGGGAAAAAUGCCCUUUGUGUGCUUCUUGGAUCAGGGUUAUUACCGUAAACGAAAACUAUCACGAAAACUGAAACUAUUAGUGAAAAAACAUUUUCGUUAACUGAAAUAAAAUAAAAACGAAGGUUUCUAAAAAAAACUAAAACUAAACUAUAACUAUAAUGUGGACCUGUAAAACUAACUAAAACUAACUAAAAUGUUGGAAAACAAAACUUGCGUUUUCGUUUUUUAAAUGUUAUUGGAUCAGCAGUUGAACACGGAGUCCCUCAUAUUACCGGAUCAUAAGCAAAUGAGCAGAUGUUGCUGGAUCAUUAAUGACCAAUAGGUGGCAGUCUAUUAGAACUCCUGACCUGCACAGCAGCGUCACGUGAUGUGUAUGACGCUGUCAGGGCACUGGAUCCCUGCCCCCGAGCCAACAGUUUGGUUCAGAAAACAUCAUCUGGUUGCUAACGGCUAGUUUAGUAAGACAAUUUGUUUCUGCUGGCAAACCAUUACAAUAACUGAAGAAGGCUUAAUUAUCUCAGUGUACUGUACACGGAAGCAUUAAAACGUUAAAUAUGGCUGAAAACGCUGACGCCAACCGCUUGCUUGGCAGUGUUAGCUGACGCUGCUAUGAUACAGAAUGUCCGCUUAACUAAUCUGAAACUAUUAUAUGCCUUUGCGGAUAAUCAACAAAUAAUAUUAUAUAUUAAUAUUUAGUCAACAAAUAGGUAUAUUAUGUUAGUGCAGCGAUCUCUUCUGGAACAGAAAUGGACACUCAUAGACAGAACAUUAAACUUUGCAUUGAUUUUCAGUUGUUGUGCACAGUUUGUACAAGUAGGAUGUGCUGAUUUACUCAAAAUUAUCUGGGUUAUUUUUAACCCAAUGCUGGGAAAAUAUUGGACAGAACACAUGUGUUGGUUAAUAAAUAAACAUAUGCUGGGUUGUUUUAACUCAUGUUUGGGUUAACAACAACCCAGCAUAUGAUUAUUUAUAACCAAACAUGUAUAUUUAUAUAUGUAUAUUAUAUUUACCCAAAUAACACAACAGAACUUAGAGUGUUGGUUGGUGUGGUAUUUGUCCCAGCCUUUGAUUGAUAGGACUUAAUAAACAAAACUUUUUUUUUUAAUCCUCUUAUUCUCAUCGUAUUUUCAACAUUUCCAGAUUUGGCGAGGUGUAUGUACACAACCAUGAUAUUAUGCUAAAGACUAAAACUAUACUAAAUAAAAACUAAAAGUAAUGAUUUUUGAAAAAUAGAAACGAAAUCAAAACUAUUUAUGCACCACUAAAAAGAACUAAAACUAAACUGAAAUAAAAUAACACAUUACAAAACGAAAUAAAAAUAAAAGCAAAUAUUUUUUUUAAACUAUAAUAACCCUGUCUUGGAUAUAAUUACAGCAAGUGAUGUAUCAACGACUCAGAAAGCAAGGUGAACAACUAGAAAAAUAACACUUGAUGAUAAUGAAAACUUAUUUUGUCAUGGACGCACGGACUUUCAUCCGACUGUGCGGAGUGCCCGUUAUGAGGCGGAGUUUACUGUGUCUAUUAGUCAUUAUAUUUCAUUACGAGAUUCAAUUGAUGAUUUUUAUCAAAACACCAACUACAUUGACUCAUUUUACAAUCCCACUAGCAUGUUAUUUAGACAAAAUAAAAACUUUUAAUUCGCGUGAGGAAGCUGGCAUUUUUACGCACACUUUAUGUCAUUGGCUAUAUGUCACUGCUGUAAUGGCUUAUUGCACUAUUACUGUUAACAAUUAUUCGAUUGAUUGAUCGUUAAUUUAAAUGAUCAUUGAAUAUGGGAAAUUGCAUAUUUUGACAUCCCUACUCCAGAUCAUGCUGCCUUUUUUCUAGAGCCCAGACCACUGCAAGGCAUUCCUUUUUAGUGGCAGAGUAGUUGUUUUUGGCUCCUGUUAGAGUCCUACUUGCAUAAGCGAUGACCUCUUCUGUGCCAGAAUUUUUCAGCUGAGUCAAGAUGGCACCCAGACCAGUGUCACUAGCAUCUGUGUACACGAUGAAUGGAAGUUUGAGGUCAGGAUGGCCCAGAAUGAGUGAUACAAGUGGUUCUGCAAUCUGAAAAGUUGGGGACAAAGUGGAGAUGCCACCCAGACAGUCCCAGGAAACGUUGGACUUCUUUCGGGUUCCUAGGCACAGGGUUUACUGUCAAGCCCGCAGUUUCUAGCCUGUGGAGUACCUUCUGGAGGUUGUUGAAGUGCUAAGAUAUUGUGGAUCUUUUGUGGAGAAGAUGGAUGCUCCUGAAAGUGACUCCAAGAUCUCGAUGAUGUUAGGCAGAGGACAUAUAGGGGCGGUUUCCCAGACAGGGAUUAUACUACUCCUAAGCACUAUUCGGACGGGAUUAGUUUUCCAAACGACGUUUGAGUUUCAACGUGUCCCCCAGGACGUCUGUGAUUUUAUGUACCGAUUCGGACGGGAUUAAAAUGAUGCAGGCUAUUCCAGAGAUGGGAGUGUGUGUUUCAUGCAUCUGGGCAUUGCAGUAGCACGUGCUCUGGAUACGCGUGUUUGUAAUGUUUAAUAUUUUGCUUUAAAUGUAAAAUUAUGACAGAACAUUUUUUUACAAAUCAAAAUAAAAUAUACAAAUCCUACUAAA